GAUGAACGCUAGCUACAGGCUUAACACAUGCAAGUCGCGGGGCAGCAUGGGGGUUGCUUGCAAUCCCCGAUGGCGACCGGCGCACGGGUGAGUAACGCGUAUCCAACCUGCCCUUCACCACGGGAUAACCCGGCGAAAGUCGGACUAAUACCGUAUGUUGUCCAUUGACGGCAUCCGAUUUGGACGAAAGGUUUGGCGGGGAAGGAUGGGGAUGCGUCCGAUUAGCUGGACGGCGGGGUGACGGCCCACCGUGGCGACGAUCGGUAGGGGUUCUGAGAGGGAGGUCCCCCACACUGGAACUGAGACACGGUCCAGACUCCUACGGGAGGCAGCAGUGAGGAAUAUUGAUCAAUGGGCGUAAGCCUGAACCAGCCAAGUAGCGUGCAGGAGGACGGCCCUAUGGGUUGUAAACUGCUUUUAUGCGGGGAUAAAGUGGCCCACGUGUGGGUUUUUGCAGGUACCGCAUGAAUAAGGACCGGCUAAUUCCGUG
This 490-nucleotide ribosomal RNA is filed under the name uncultured bacterium. RNAcentral describes it as "partial 16S ribosomal RNA". It matches the Rfam family "Bacterial small subunit ribosomal RNA", at positions 28 to 507 of the family's 1533-position model. The record is from RNAcentral.